AGCUUUGCACAGUGGCUGUAUCGUAGCCAAUGAGGUUUAUCCAAGGUGUGAUUAUUGCCAAUUGAAAACUUUUCCCAAUACCCCACCAUGAUGACUUGAAAAAAAG
This 106-nucleotide small nuclear RNA is filed under the name Octodon degus (degu). Its description in RNAcentral is "U4 spliceosomal RNA (ENSODEG00000025777.1)". It matches the Rfam family "U4 spliceosomal RNA", at positions 1 to 103 of the family's 138-position model. Rfam says of the family: U4 small nuclear RNA (U4 snRNA) is a component of the major U2-dependent spliceosome. The structure of U4 snRNA from yeast and human has been reported. The record is from Rfam by way of RNAcentral. Lineage: Eukaryota; Metazoa; Chordata; Mammalia; Rodentia; Octodontidae.